Molecule: ribosomal RNA, 497 nt
Filed under: uncultured bacterium
Lineage: Bacteria
Description: partial 16S ribosomal RNA
Rfam family: Bacterial small subunit ribosomal RNA
Source: RNAcentral
GAUGAACGCUGGCGGCGUGCCUAAUACAUGCAAGUCGAGCGAACAGACGAGGAGCUUGCUCCUCUGACGUUAGCGGCGGACGGGUGAGUAACACGUGGAUAACCUACCUAUAAGACUGGGAUAACUUCGGGAAACCGGAGCUAAUACCGGAUAAUAUAUUGAACCGCAUGGUUCAAUAGUGAAAGACGGUUUUGCUGUCACUUAUAGAUGGAUCCGCGCCGCAUUAGCUAGUUGGUAAGGUAACGGCUUACCAAGGCAACGAUGCGUAGCCGACCUGAGGGGGUGAUCGGCCACACUGGAACUGAGACACGGUCCAGACUCCUACGGGAGGCAGCAGUAGGGAAUCUUCCGCAAUGGGCGAAAGCCUGACGGAGCAACGCCGCGUGAGUGAUGAAGGUCUUCGGAUCGUAAAACUCUGUUAUUAGGGAAGAACAAAUGUGUAAGUAACUAUGCACGUCUUGACGGUACCUAAUCAGAAAGCCACGGCUAACUACGUG